GGGUCAGUAGGUUGGUCGUGCCACCGGUACGUACUGGUCUCACUUAUUCCUCCUUCCUGAAGAACCGUAAUGCCAUUAAUUUGGUGUUGCGGGGAAACAGGACUGUUACUUUAAAAAAAUUAGAGUGUUUAAAGCAAGCUAACGCUUGAAUACAUUAGCAUGGAACAAUGAAAUAGGACGAUCGAUCCUAUUUUGUUGGUUUCUAGGAUUGACGUA
RNAcentral lists this ribosomal RNA (216 nucleotides) under Glomeromycotina sp. RNAcentral describes it as "partial small subunit ribosomal RNA". The stretch from base 40 to 216 matches the Rfam family "Eukaryotic small subunit ribosomal RNA", at positions 686 to 864 of the family's 1831-position model. Lineage: Eukaryota; Fungi; Glomeromycota. The record is from RNAcentral.